This 253-nucleotide ribosomal RNA is filed under the name uncultured bacterium. Its description in RNAcentral is "partial 16S ribosomal RNA". It matches the Rfam family "Bacterial small subunit ribosomal RNA", at positions 524 to 776 of the family's 1533-position model. The record is from RNAcentral.
UACAGAGGUCCCAAGCGUUGUUCGGAUUCACUGGGCGUAAAGGGUGCGUAGGUGGUGGGGUAAGUCGGAUGUGAAAGCUCGGAGCUCAACUCCGAAAUGGCAUUGGAAACUACCCUGCUAGAGGAUUGGAGGGGGGACUGGAAUACUUGGUGUAGCAGUGAAAUGCGUAGAUAUCAAGUGGAACACCAGUGGCGAAGGCGGUUGCCUGGAGCUUUGCUGACGCUGAUGCGCGAAAGCGUGGGGAGCGAUCCGG